UACUGGUCGCCUCCUGAAGGAUCAAUCUGGU
RNAcentral lists this non-coding RNA (31 nucleotides) under Mus musculus (house mouse). The record is from RNAcentral. Lineage: Eukaryota; Metazoa; Chordata; Mammalia; Rodentia; Muridae.